Molecule: ribosomal RNA, 305 nt
Filed under: uncultured bacterium
Lineage: Bacteria
Description: bacterial SSU rRNA
Rfam family: Bacterial small subunit ribosomal RNA
Source: RNAcentral
UCGGGACGCAGCAGUAGGGAAUCUUCCACAAUGGGCGAAAGCCUGAUGGAGCAACGCCGCGUGGGUGAAGAAGGUCUUCGGAUCGUAAAACCCUGUUGUUAGAGAAGAAAGUGCGUGAGAGUAACUGUUCACGUUUCGACGGUAUCUAACCAGAAAGCCACGGCUAACUACGUGCCAGCAGCCGCGGUAAUACGUAGGUGGCAAGCGUUAUCCGGAUGUAUUGGGCGUAAAGGGAACGCAGGCGGUCUUUUAAGUCUGAUGUGAAAGCCUUCGGCGUCACCGGAGUAGUGCAUUGGAAACUUGGA